CCCAGGCUCCCCUGCGUGGUCCUGCUCAGAGAAGAAGAGUUACCACAGGGACUUCAGGAGCCCCUCACCUCCUCUGGGGUAGCAAGGCUGACGGGGCAGCGCAGGCUGACACUGACAAACGUCACCCCCUUAGGUGGCCUUCCAUGCUCGGCACGUGGCAGGAACUCCUGGGAGCACGUUUCUCACCUGAAAGCAGAGCCUGAUUCCAGCUGGACUUGAAGAUUGAGACGAUGGGGCGGGGGAGUGUCAGAAUCGCCUAGUAACACCCAGCGCGGUCAAGGAUGUGGAGAGAGUCACACCUCGGAGCUGGGGCCCGAGGACAAGAGACCCCGUCUCCACAGAGAAAGACACAUGAGGGGAAAAGGACCUUACAACACGACAGAAGCUGUGACAGGCUUUUCACAGGGACAGCGGGAACAGGAAGCAGAAGGAAUGACAGCGGUUGUAACAGUAUUGCUCUAAUAAGACCAGAAAAGGGUAGGAAUCUUUCGGAUGCAUGGAGUAGACCUAGCGCUGGACUCUCUUAAGUGAAAGCGGAGACUUGUCGGCUCUGUAAGCUGAGGAGUUGAGAGAGCCAGCUGGAGGGAUGGCGGGCUCCAGAGUGCCCGUGACAUCAUCGGGGCCAGGCUGGCCUUCGAUUCUUCCCCAUCCCCCAACUCCAGGCUUAAGCCCCAGGACUGACGUGUGGCAGGAUGAGCACCAGCUCUGUCCCCACCUUGUCUCAACUUCCGGGUCUGGGAAGUAAGAAUGAGAAUCUCCUUCCCAGAAGUCUAAGUGACAUCUCCCUUCGUCUCUGUAAGAGCUGGGCAAGGCUACCCUGCAAUGGUGACUAGCCCCAUAAGUUAUGUUCUGUUACAGUGUGUUCUGUAUAUUACAUUGUAGCAUGUUGUGUUAUAUAUGUUGUGUAACAGGAUUUUGUUAUAUGACUGUAAAACUACAUUUCACUUCCGUGUCCUCUCCGCGGCAGACACUCCCGGUCUUUUCUCCAUCAUGCUGUCAAGGAUUCUGGUUCGUUCCAUCCUGUGGCCCACCAUCCUCUAGGGCAGGAGUCUGUAACUUUUUCUGUAAAGGGCCAGAUGGUAAA
This is a long non-coding RNA of Suricata suricatta (meerkat), 1084 nucleotides long. RefSeq lists it as uncharacterized. The record is from RefSeq and is a predicted model, not a curated record. The transcript is spliced from 4 exons. NCBI's taxonomy places the organism in Eukaryota, Metazoa, Chordata, Mammalia, Carnivora, Herpestidae.